This 72-nucleotide transfer RNA is filed under the name Perkinsus marinus ATCC 50983. It matches the Rfam family "tRNA". Rfam says of the family: Transfer RNA (tRNA) molecules are approximately 80 nucleotides in length. Lineage: Eukaryota; Perkinsozoa; Perkinsida; Perkinsidae. The record is from Rfam by way of RNAcentral.
GGCCCUGUGGCACAACGGUAGCGCAACUGACUCCAGAUCAGAAGAUUGUCCGUUCGAAUCGGGUAGGGGUCA